RNAcentral lists this ribosomal RNA (465 nucleotides) under uncultured bacterium. RNAcentral's name for it is "partial 16S ribosomal RNA". It matches the Rfam family "Bacterial small subunit ribosomal RNA", at positions 338 to 795 of the family's 1533-position model. The record is from RNAcentral.
CCUACGGGUGGCAGCAGUGGGGAAUAUUGCGCAAUGGGCGAAAGCCUGACGCAGCGACGCCGCGUGAGGGAUGAAGGUCUUCGGAUCGUUAACCUCUGUCAGCAGGGAAGAACGGUCACUGUGCUAAUCAGCAGUGAAUUGACGGUACCUGCAAAGGAAGCACCGGCUCACUCCGUGCCAGCAGCCGCGGUAAUACGGAGGGUGCGAGCGUUAAUCGGAAUUACUGGGAGUAAAGCGCACGUAGGCGGUAGGUCAAGUCAAGGGUGAAAUGCCCGCGGUCAACGUGGGAACUGCCUUUGAAACGGGCAAACUGGAGUGUGUGAGAGGUGAGUGGAAUUCCAGGUGUAGGAGUGAAAUCCGUAGAUAUCUGGAGGAACAUCAGUGGCGAAGGCGACUAUCUGGCACAUAACUGACGCUGAGGAGCGAAAGCGUGGGUAGCAAACAGGAUUAGAUACCCGAGUAGUC